Molecule: transfer RNA, 73 nt
Filed under: Echinostoma caproni
Lineage: Eukaryota; Metazoa; Platyhelminthes; Trematoda; Plagiorchiida; Echinostomatidae
Rfam family: tRNA
About the family: Transfer RNA (tRNA) molecules are approximately 80 nucleotides in length.
Source: Rfam by way of RNAcentral
GGCCUCGUCACUCAGCUGGUAGAGCGUGCGCUGCUCAAAGGCGUAGGCGCAAGUUCAAAUCUCACCGAGGCUA